This 501-nucleotide ribosomal RNA is filed under the name uncultured bacterium. Its description in RNAcentral is "bacterial SSU rRNA". It matches the Rfam family "Bacterial small subunit ribosomal RNA", at positions 29 to 509 of the family's 1533-position model. The record is from RNAcentral.
AAUGAACGCUGGCGGCGUGCUUAACACAUGCAAGUCGUGCGCGAAGGUGACUUCGGUCGCCGGAGAGCGGCGGACGGGUGAGUAACACGUGGGUAAUCUGCCUAGGAGUGGGGAAUAACCUGGGGAAACUCGGGCUAAUACCGCAUACGUCGUCGGAACUGCGGUUCCGGCAAGAAAGCUGGCCUCUGCUUGCAUGCUAGCGCUCCUAGAGGAGCCCGCGGCUGAUUAGCUAGUUGGUGAGGUAAUGGCUCACCAAGGCGACGAUCAGUAGCCGGCCUGAGAGGGUGAACGGCCACACUGGGACUGAGACACGGCCCAGACUCCUACGGGAGGCAGCAGUGGGGAAUAUUGGACAAUGGGCGAAAGCCUGAUCCAGCAACGCCGCGUGGAGGACGAAGGUCUUCGGAUCGUAAACUCCUGUCAGACGGGACGAACGGACGUCGGUAAAUAAUCGACGUCUUUGACGGUACCGUCAGAGGAAGCCCCGGCUAACUCCGUGCC